UGUUUCCUACGGGACGCAGCAGGCGGGAAUAUUGCGCAAUGGAGGAAACUCUGACGCAGUGACGCCGCGUAUAGGAAGAAGUUUUUCGGAAUGUAAACUAUUGUCGUUAGGGAAGAGAAAGGACAGUACCUAAGGAGGAAGCUCCGGCUAGCUACGUGCCAGCAGCCGCGGUAAUACGUAGGGAGCGAGCGUUAUCCGGAUUUAUUGGGUGUAAAGGGUGCGUAGACGGGAAAACAAGUUAGUUGUGAAAUCCCUCGGCUUAACUGAGGAACUGCAACUAAAACUAUUUUUCUUGAGUGCAGGAG
RNAcentral lists this ribosomal RNA (305 nucleotides) under uncultured bacterium. RNAcentral describes it as "bacterial SSU rRNA". It matches the Rfam family "Bacterial small subunit ribosomal RNA", at positions 333 to 654 of the family's 1533-position model. The record is from RNAcentral.